AGCCGUGUGGCCGAGAGGUAAGGUAGAGGUUUGCAAAACCUAGCACGUCGGUUCGACUCCGACCGCGGCGUCAA
RNAcentral lists this transfer RNA (74 nucleotides) under Citrobacter freundii. Its description in RNAcentral is "tRNA-Cys". It matches the Rfam family "tRNA". Rfam says of the family: Transfer RNA (tRNA) molecules are approximately 80 nucleotides in length. The record is from RNAcentral. Lineage: Bacteria; Pseudomonadati; Pseudomonadota; Gammaproteobacteria; Enterobacterales; Enterobacteriaceae.